RNAcentral lists this ribosomal RNA (301 nucleotides) under uncultured bacterium. RNAcentral's name for it is "partial 16S ribosomal RNA". It matches the Rfam family "Bacterial small subunit ribosomal RNA", at positions 509 to 807 of the family's 1533-position model. The record is from RNAcentral.
CAGUAGCCGCGGGAAUACGAAGGGGGCUAGCGUUGCUCGGAAUUACUGGGCGUAAAGGGAGCGUAGGCGGACAUUUAAGUCAGGGGUGAAAUCCCAGAGCUCAACUCUGGAACUGCCUUUGAUACUGGGUGUCUUGAGUGUGAUAGAGGUAUGUGGAACUCCGAGUGUAGAGGUGAAAUUCGUAGAUAUUCGGAAGAACACCAGUGGCGAGGGCGACAUACUGGAUCAUUACUGACGCUGAGGCUCGAAAGCGUGGGGAGCAAACAGGAUUAGAUACCCGCGUAGUCCCUGUCUCUUAUAC